CAGUAGCCGCGGUAAUACGGAGGAUCCGAGCGUUAUCCGGAAUUAUUGGGUUUAAAGGGUGCGUAGGCGGAUAGAUAAGUCAGUGGUGAAAGACGGUGGCUCAACCAUCGCAGUGCCGUUGAUACUGUUUAUCUUGAAUAUGGAUGAGGUAGGCGGAAUGUGGCAAGUAGCGGUGAAAUGCAUAGAUAUGCCACAGAACACCGAUUGCGAAGGCAGCUUACCAAGGCAAAAUUGACGCUGAGGCACGAAAGCGUGGGGAUCGAACAGGAUUAGAUACCCCGGUAGUCCCUGUCUCUUAUAC
This 301-nucleotide ribosomal RNA is filed under the name uncultured bacterium. RNAcentral's name for it is "partial 16S ribosomal RNA". It matches the Rfam family "Bacterial small subunit ribosomal RNA", at positions 509 to 807 of the family's 1533-position model. The record is from RNAcentral.